This 512-nucleotide ribosomal RNA is filed under the name uncultured bacterium. RNAcentral describes it as "bacterial SSU rRNA". It matches the Rfam family "Bacterial small subunit ribosomal RNA", at positions 18 to 518 of the family's 1533-position model. The record is from RNAcentral.
UAUGGCUCAGGAUGAACGCUGGCGGCGUGCCUAACACAUGCAAGUCGAACGGGGGUACAGACGCUGCGAGAGGAAGUGCUUGCACGGAAUCAAACUGUUGACUAGUGGCGGACGGGUGAGUAACGCGUGGAAAACCUGCCUCAUACAGGGGGAUAACAGGAAGAAAUUCCUGCUAAUACCGCAUGAGCGCACAUUACCGCAUGGUAGAGUGUGAAAAAGAUUUUAUCGGGUAUGAGAUGGUUCCGCGUCUGAUUAGCCAGUUGGCGGGUAACGGCCCACCAAAGCGACGAUCAGUAGCCGGCCUGAGAGGGCGGACGGCCACAUUGGGACUGAGACACGGCCCAGACUCCUACGGGAGGCAGCAGUGGGGGAUAUUGCACAAUGGGGGAAACCCUGAUGCCAGCGACGCCGCGUGGGUGAAGAAGUUAUUCGUAAUGUAAAGCCCUAUCAGCAGGGAAGAUAAUGACGGUACCUGACUAAGAAGCCCCGGCUAACUACGUGCCAGCAGCCGC